GCUCGAGAGUCGAUCUCGUUGGAGAGCUUGUCGUCGUCCCAGUCGAGGCCUUGGAUUUGCUCUUGGCCGCCGGAAGAAUGCCUAGCGGUGUCCACCCGUGCAGUGCUGCCGAGAUCGACUGGAGUGGGUGUGUUUUGGAUCUUGGUUCUCUUCUCACCUGAUCCUCGCGAGCUGCUGGAGCAGCCAUUCUCCAUCUCCAAUCCAAACCCUAGCCUGUCCUGCCAUUCUCCUUUUUUUUUUUUUGAGAAAUGUUUCAGCAGAAAAGAUGCAAGUUUUCUCUCGUCUCGGCCUUCGCCCGUUGUCAGUCAGAGACACCGCCCCUUCUGCCCCCUCCUCUCCGGCGACCCCUUGAAAAAAAAACCUGCUCUCCGGCGGUUCUCCCCCGCUCCCAAACGCCGCUGUCCAGUCUCGCCCGGGCCCGAUGGAUCGUCGGAGGGUUCGACGCUUAGGGGCUGCCAUGCACCCCCUCCUCGCAGCUGCGGCCAGUGACGGUGCCACUCCCAGCACCGCCGCCGCCUCUCAAACCCGCGGCGGGAGCUCCGCAAGUGCCGUCAGGCUCGACGUCGAAGCUGACAUCGACCAGGGGACAUCAUACUUGGCUGAUGAGCAGCACACGAGGGUGGCAUCUGGGAGCUCUUCAGCGAGGCUCAGCGGAGUAACUAAUUGACCUAUCCCUUGAUUCACUCAAAUCUAGUGUUGCUGUGGGUUAAUGACUGAAUGUGUGCUAGUUUCUGCUAUGACAUGCCAACAAUUCUCAGUUACAAUAAUGCAUUCACAUUGCUUUGUCGUUUGGAAAGGCAAUAUGACGUGGAAAACUUUCCUGUCAUCAGACAAUAAGUAGUAUGAACCAGAAUGUAUAUCCUAAAAAAGGAACCAGAAUGUGAAAUUCCAUGAUCUUGAGCAGUUCAAGGCUGCUUGGUAUUGCUAUCUUUAGAUGGGAAAGUAAAACACAUAUGUAAAAUUGCAAGCAUGAGUACAGAUGAAUUUUCCAAGUAAUGGAUCCAGGUAAAAGCCACAAACUAAAGUUCCUCCUUUGAUAUUUUUCUCACAAACACGUGUCUAAACGUGUGUCAUUUUAUAUUAGAAGAAACACCAGGAAGGCGUGAAGAGUACAGAAGAACUAGGCUACAACAGACUGUACAGAAGAAUUAGGCUACAACAGAAGCUCGUACUAUGGAUCAACGCAACCUGCCUGUCAUGACUACCGCAAUACAGCUACGUAUGAGUACAUAAUCUCUACAUAUGGAGACAGACAUGUCUCUUUCUCAAGUUCUUGGCGACAUCGUAAGUUGGCAAUCUCCAGGGAACUAGCUAUUAUUUUUACAAAACAGGGUACUAGAUCUCAUGUCACGGUGCUGUAAGUUGCUGAUUUAUGCGUGACUAAUUAUGUCCACAUAAAGCAAUGAAGGGACGUUUUGAACCAUCAGCAUAAACCAAGUUUGCAAUUACUCAGCCGGGAAGCAAAAUCUUUCUCUCUGAAUAAGUUAUAUUCUGAACUUCUUUUUUCUUAACAUAGCCAACAUAGGCCAGUCUAGGACAUAUGAAACAUAAUUUGCUCUCCAUUGUGUAGAAGAAUGACAGUUCCUGGUGGGGUUUGCGGCUGAAGGAUGCAGUGGCAAACGGUUUAUCAUGGGAUGCAAAGUGCUAUGCAAUACAUUGGGAAGCUUAUUCAUGUAUAAGGAAGCUCUGACAUCAAGAAAGUUCAUUGAAAAGGAAUAGUGAACUUGGGCUCCUGCCUGUCAGCGAGCAGAAAUAUUUUGUCUCUCUGAAUCUCUGACCCCGUUGAGAGUGCACACAGGCUUGACAGUAGUCGCGUCGCAGGGCUAAUGAAAGUUCAGGACACGCCACGCUCGCCCUGUGACAUGAACUGAAUUAUCAGGGAGUGUUCAGAGGAAGGGGCGGGAGCUUGAAACCCGGCACGGGCGUGACGGAAUUGCCUUCCUCCCCACCAGCGUCCCGACUUCUUAACUUGCCUGGCGUAAUGUGUAACAAAUAUAAAGAUGAACUUGUGCUCACUUACAGAGAUUGCAUCACCGUUCAGUUUCCUUUUUUUGUGAGAAUAUUUUCUGUCGCUACUUUCAGUUGUGAGAAUGUUUCCUCCUUCAGUAUUUACAACUCUAAGCUGCUCAUACUGA
Molecule: non-coding RNA, 2135 nt
Organism: Aegilops tauschii subsp. strangulata
Lineage: Eukaryota; Viridiplantae; Streptophyta; Magnoliopsida; Poales; Poaceae
Source: RefSeq, a predicted model, not a curated record